GGCCAGGUGGCGGAGUGGUUAACGCGGUAGACUAGAACUACUACAUCAGUAGGAGUCUCUAAGCCAUCUACUUCCUUCGGGAGCGUCUGUUCGAAUCAGGCCCUGGUCG
Non-coding RNA from Xylaria sp. CBS 124048, 109 nucleotides. NCBI's taxonomy places the organism in Eukaryota, Fungi, Ascomycota, Sordariomycetes, Xylariales, Xylariaceae. The record is from the annotation of a GenBank genome assembly.